This 440-nucleotide ribosomal RNA is filed under the name uncultured bacterium. RNAcentral's name for it is "partial 16S ribosomal RNA". It matches the Rfam family "Bacterial small subunit ribosomal RNA", at positions 338 to 795 of the family's 1533-position model. The record is from RNAcentral.
CCUACGGGAGACAGCAGUAGGGAAUAUUGCUCAAUGGGGGAAACCCUGAUGCAGCGACGCCGCGUGAGUGAAGAAGUAAUUCGUUAUGUAAAGCUCUAUCAGCAGGGAAGAAAAUGACGGUACCUGAGUAAGAAGCCCCGGCUAACUACGUGCCAGCAGCCGCGGGAAUACGGCGGGGGCAAGCGUUAUCCGGAUUUACUGGGUGUAAAGGGAGCGUAGACGGCGGUGCAAGUCUGGAGUGAAAGGCGGGGGCUCAACCCCCGGACUGCUCUGGAAACUGUACGGCUGGAGUGCAGGAGAGGUAAGUGGAAUUCCUAGUGUAGCGGUGAAAUGCGUAGAUAUUAGGAGGAACACCAGUGGCGAAGGCGGCUUACUGGACUGUAACUGACGUUGAGGCUCGAAAGCGUGGGGAGCAAACAGGAUUAGAUACCCCAGUAGUC